Molecule: unclassified non-coding RNA, 630 nt
Filed under: Hevea brasiliensis (rubber tree)
Lineage: Eukaryota; Viridiplantae; Streptophyta; Magnoliopsida; Malpighiales; Euphorbiaceae
Source: RNAcentral
GUUGGCAUCUAUUUAUCUUUUGCAGGUAAGAAAUAACGAGUAAUACCCAAAUCCUUUUUCACUGUAUUAGGUCGCUUCUGAGGCCUGAGCCAUGCUUGUACCUCUUCUUGAAUUUGUUUUGGUAACUCAUUCAAGACAUCCUGGUCAAUCUUAUCAAUGUCGUAACUCCAUGAUGGCCUUUUCAGUUUAAUCUGGCUACAAAGAUGAGUAUCAACACUAGAUUCACCUCUUGCAGGUGAAUUUUCUUGAGGAAGUUCACUUUGACGGUCUGACAAGGAGGAGGAUUCGCUUAGCCUACUAGUAUUGGCAUGUUCUGCCUUUAAGAGAGAGCCAGAGAGUUGACUUUGAAAAUAUCGCGAGAUUGUUGACAUCCCCUUUUCUUUAUUUGAUUUCCUCUUCCCAUCCUCUGACUCUAAACUAUCUCUAAUCUUUACAGUAAGGUAGUCCCUGCUUGAUUCAUUCUGAUCUUUCUCCCAUCCCCGGUACACUUCAGCAUCUGGUGAAGAACAGAUUGAAGUCUCUUUAUCAGGCAGCUUUUCUUUGCACGUGUUCUUGUCCUCUUCCUGUCUGUCUAGUGACAUGGAAUAUUUAGUCUCUUCAUUUUCCUCACGACAUGCUAUCCAUGGCUCU